Molecule: ribosomal RNA, 185 nt
Filed under: uncultured bacterium
Lineage: Bacteria
Description: partial 16S ribosomal RNA
Rfam family: Bacterial small subunit ribosomal RNA
Source: RNAcentral
CUACAUGAAGCUGGAAUCGCUAGUAAUCGUGGAUCAGAAUGCCGCGGUGAAUACGUUCCCGGGUCUUGUACACACCGCCCGUCACACCAUGGGAGCCGGUAACGCCCGAAGUCAGUGACCCAACCGAGAGGAGGGAGCUGCCGAAGGCGGGACAGGUAACUGGGGUGAAGUCGUAACAAGGUACC